This is a long non-coding RNA of Pieris napi, 494 nucleotides long. RefSeq lists it as uncharacterized. The transcript has 2 exons. Lineage: Eukaryota; Metazoa; Arthropoda; Insecta; Lepidoptera; Pieridae. The record is from RefSeq and is a predicted model, not a curated record.
AAUUCACUAUAAUUUUUUUAUGGUUUAUGAUCACAGGUAUAUAAAUAACGAAAGGUUUUUAUUUUACUAUCAUAAUUAUUGUUGUAUUUCAAUCGUUAAAAUGUUCACGAAAUUGGUAGCCAGGUUAUGCUUGAUCAACUUUAUUAUUUUCUGCGGAUCAAGAUUGGCUUUUCCGCAGCUCCCAGGGAUAUCGAAAAUCUUACCACAUGAAGAAACAACUUCAACGACCAGUGUUCCCCCGCAAAUUAAUGUAGACGUGAAUGUACACGGAGAGACGACACCUCAACCAUCGCAAACAUAUCUCUUAAGCAAAGAGAAUCUAUCAAAAGAACAGCCGUCGUGCUCGUAGGAGCAACCAAUGAAUUUUAUUUCAAAAUUAAUAUGAUAAAAUAAACAGAAUUUUCUAUAUUUUCACAUAAAUAUAUAUUAGUAAUUGUUUGAAAAUUAUCGGGACUUGUAAAAUAUUGUCGUUUAAUAAAUUAAUAUACACAGAA